CUCAUGUUAAAAAGAUAUAGAAAAAUAAAUUGUAUUUUUGGAUAAUAAAGAAAAAUGUACCCUUCCACGGUAAUAAAUAUAUUCAAUUACGUAGAAUGAAAACAAAAUGGAAUUUAGUAUUAGGCGCACACAACGUUUGAGCCGUAUGCGAUGAAAGUCGCACGUACGGUUCUAAGAGGGGGAAAGUCUGAGAAGACCUACCUAUCUCAACUAGAUACCCUAGUAGUCUCUGCAGAUAAUGAUGAAUGUCAUAGGUUAGGCUAAGAUAAGUUUAAUUUAUAAAUUAAAGUGUAAGCAUUCCACCUCACCACUAAUGUGGCAACGCAGGAACUGAAAUCACUAGGCCGUUUCUAACAUCAGCAGUGAAGUAUGUUGUUUAAUUCGAUGAUCCACGAAAAACCUUACCACAACUUGAAUAUUAGAUAUUUUUAAAAUAUUGUGUAUGUUUUAUAAAAUAUAAUUUUAUAAUAAAAGAAUAUAUUAUAUUAAUAAUAUAUAUAUAUUUGAGUAUACUUUAAUAAUUUAAUCUUAGUAUUGAAUUCUUAAAUAAUACAAGUGUUGCACGGCUGUCUUCAGUUAAUGCUGGAACCUUCGGUUUCGACCAGGCAAUUAACGAAAAACCUUAC
This 626-nucleotide ribosomal RNA is filed under the name Lulwoidea lignoarenaria. Lineage: Eukaryota; Fungi; Ascomycota; Sordariomycetes; Lulworthiales; Lulworthiaceae. The record is from RNAcentral.